This 300-nucleotide unclassified non-coding RNA is filed under the name fungal sp. RNAcentral describes it as "partial contains small subunit ribosomal RNA and internal transcribed spacer 1". The stretch from base 1 to 46 matches the Rfam family "Eukaryotic small subunit ribosomal RNA", at positions 1786 to 1831 of the family's 1831-position model. Lineage: Eukaryota; Fungi. The record is from RNAcentral.
AAGUCGUAACAAGGUUUCCGUAGGUGAACCUGCGGAAGGAUCAUUAACACGUAUCCAACGUUAAAACCCCCCGUGCACCUUAACGCCAGCACUCCGAACCUCGAUAAGCAAUCUCUGGUAAAUCACGCCAAAACGGUUUUGAUUCAGAGACUUCUUUGAGACGGGAGGAUUGUGCGGCUCGAACAGCCGAGGUUUCCAGAUAGCACACGAGAAUGAGUGAAAGUGUCAUUUUAGUGUGUUUGAUAGGAUAACUCCGUAAAAAAGAGAUCGUUGACCCUCACGGUCCUCGGACUUGGCUGC